This 252-nucleotide ribosomal RNA is filed under the name uncultured bacterium. RNAcentral's name for it is "partial 16S ribosomal RNA". It matches the Rfam family "Bacterial small subunit ribosomal RNA", at positions 524 to 776 of the family's 1533-position model. The record is from RNAcentral.
UACGAAAGGUGCAAGCGUUACUCGGAAUCACUGGGCGUAAAGCGCACGUAGGCGGACUCGUAGGUCAAUUGUAAAUACCUGGGCUCAACCCGGGAACUGCAGUUGAAACCGCUUGUCUUGAAUACCUGAGAGGGUGGGGGAAUACCUGGUGGAGAAGUGAAAUUCGUAGAGAUCAGGUUGAACACCGGAGGCGAAGGCGCCUGCCUGGCAGUGUAUUGACGCUGAGGUGCGAAAGUGCGGGGAGCAAACAGG